Molecule: ribosomal RNA, 482 nt
Filed under: uncultured bacterium
Lineage: Bacteria
Description: partial 16S ribosomal RNA
Rfam family: Bacterial small subunit ribosomal RNA
Source: RNAcentral
AGUGAACGUUGGCGGCGUGGAUUAGGCAUGCAAGUCGAGCGAGAACCGUAGCAAUACGGGGACAGCGGCGAAAGGGACAGUAAUAUGUAGGUACCUACCCUCGGGUCCGGGAUAGCUGCGGGAAACUGCAGGUAAUACCGGAUGACAUCUCCGGAUCAAAGGUGUGAUUCCGCCCGGGGAGGGGCCUGCAUCCUAUUAGCUAGUUGGUGGGGUAACGGCUCACCAAGGCGACGAUGGGUAGCGGGUGUGAGAGCAUGACCCGCGUCAUUGGGACUGAGACACUGCCCAGACACCUACGGGUGGCUGCAGUCGAGAAUCUUCGGCAAUGGGGGAAACCCUGACCGAGCGACGCCGUGUGCGGGAUGAAGGCCCUCGGGUUGUAAACCGCUGUCGUAGAGGAGGAAAUGCAGGGGGGUUCUCCCCUCUGUUUGACCUAGUCUAGGAGGAAGGACGGGCUAAGUUCGUGCCAGCCGCCGCAGUAA